This 679-nucleotide long non-coding RNA is filed under the name Zonotrichia albicollis (white-throated sparrow). RNAcentral's name for it is "lncRNA (ENSZALG00000001361.1)". Lineage: Eukaryota; Metazoa; Chordata; Aves; Passeriformes; Passerellidae. The record is from RNAcentral.
CUGCUCCUUUCUCUGUCCUUGUGCCUCUUUUUGGGGACAAAAACGGUGUUUGCUGCCUUUCCCUCACUCCUGGGGUGAGGCUUGGCCUCAUCCUGCUGUGGGUGAGGAUGAUGAAGGCUGAGGAUGAUGAAGGGCACUCAGGGGGUCCCUUUAGUCCCUUGGUCUCAUCCUGGUGUGGGUGAGGAUGAUGAAGGCGAGGAUGAUGAAGACGAAGGUGAGGAUGAUGAAGACGAAGGUGAGGAUGAUGAAGGUGAGGAUGAUGAAGGUGAGGAUGAUGAAGGUGAGGACGAUGAAGGUGAGGAUGAUGAAGGGCGCUCAAAGGGGUCCUUUGAUCUCAUCCUGGUGUGGGUGAGGAUGAUGAAGGGCGGGGAUGAUGAAGGGUGACGAUGAUGAAGGGUGACAAUGAUGAAGGUGAGGACGAUGAAGGUGAGGAUGAUGCAGGGUGAGGAUGAUGAAGGUGAGGAUUAUGAAGGGUGACAAUGACGAAGGUGAGGAUGAUGAAGGUGAGGAUGACGAAGGCACCCUGUGGGCAGGACGAGGAGGAGAACGGCGCGGGCAGCAAAGGGGAGCAGGCCAAGAACCCCGAGCUGCACGAGGACAACGUGACGGAGCAGACGCAUCACAUCAUCAUCCCCAGCUACGCCGCCUGGUUCGACUACAACAGGUACGGCGCCUUCCU